RNAcentral lists this ribosomal RNA (492 nucleotides) under uncultured bacterium. RNAcentral describes it as "partial 16S ribosomal RNA". It matches the Rfam family "Bacterial small subunit ribosomal RNA", at positions 29 to 507 of the family's 1533-position model. The record is from RNAcentral.
AGUGAACGCUGGCGGUAGGCCUAACACAUGCCAGUCGAACGGCAGCACAGUAAGAGCUUGCUCUUACGGGUGGCGAGUGGCGGACGGGUGAGGAAUACAUCGGAAUCUACUUUUUCGUGGGGGAUAACGUAGGGAAACUUACGCUAAUACCGCAUACGACCUACGGGUGAAAGCAGGGGAUCUUCGGACCUUGCGGGAUUGAAUGAGCCGAUGUCGGAUUAGCUAGUUGGCGGGGUAAAGGCCCACCAAGGCGACGAUCCGUAGCUGGUCUGAGAGGAUGAUCAGCCACACUGGAACUGAGACACGGUCCAGACUCCUACGGGAGGCAGCAGUGGGGAAUAUUGGACAAUGGGCGCAAGCCUGAUCCAGCCAUACCGCGUGGGUGAAGAAGGCCUUCGGGUUGUAAAGCCCUUUUGUUGGGAAAGAAAAGCAGCAGGUUAAUACCCCGCUGUUCUGACGGUACCCAAAGAAUAAGCACCGGCUAACUUCGUG